Molecule: ribosomal RNA, 504 nt
Filed under: uncultured Glomus
Lineage: Eukaryota; Fungi; Glomeromycota; Glomeromycetes; Glomerales; Glomeraceae
Description: SSU rRNA
Rfam family: Eukaryotic small subunit ribosomal RNA
Source: RNAcentral
AGCAGCCGCGGUAAUUCCAGCUCCAAUAGCGUAUAUUAAAGUUGUUGCAGUUAAAAAGCUCGUAGUUGAAUUUCGGGAUUAAUAUUCUGGUCGUGCCAUUGGUACGUACUAGUAUUAUUGAUUUCUCCCUUCUGAUGAAUCAUGAUGUCAUUAAUUUGAUGUCAUGGGGAAUCAGGACUGUUACUUUGAAAAAAUUAGAGUGUUUAAAGCAGGCUCGCGCUUGAAUACAUUAGCAUGGAAUAAUGAAAUAGGACGUUUGAUUCUAUUUUGUUGGUUUCUAGGAUUGACGUAAUGAUUAAUAGGGAUAGUUGGGGGCAUUAGUAUUCAAUUGUCAGAGGUGAAAUUCUUGGAUUUAUUGAAGACUAACUACUGCGAAAGCAUUUGCCAAGGAUGUUUUCAUUAAUCAAGAACGAAAGUUAGGGGAUCGAAGACGAUCAGAUACCGUCGUAGUCUUAACCAUAAACUAUGCCGACUAGGGAUCGGAUGAUGUUAAUUUUUAAUGUA